This 443-nucleotide ribosomal RNA is filed under the name uncultured bacterium. RNAcentral describes it as "partial 16S ribosomal RNA". It matches the Rfam family "Bacterial small subunit ribosomal RNA", at positions 338 to 795 of the family's 1533-position model. The record is from RNAcentral.
CCUACGGGAGGCAGCAGUGAGGAAUAUUGGUCAAUGGACGCAAGUCUGAUCCAGCGACGCCGCGUGAGUGAAGAAGUAUUUCGGUAUGUAAAGCUCUAUCAGCAGGGAAGAAAGAAAUGACGGUACCUGACUAAGAAGCCCCGGCUAACUACGUGCCAGCAGCCGCGGUAAUACGUAGGGGGCAAGCGUUAUCCGGAUUUACUGGGUGUAAAGGGAGCGUAGACGGCGAUGCAAGUCUGAAGUGAAAGGCGGGGGCCCAACCCCCGGACUGCUUUGGAAACUGUAUGGCUGGAGUGCAGGAGAGGUAAGUGGAAUUCCUAGUGUAGCGGUGGAAUGCGUAGAUAUUAGGAGGAACACCAGUGGCGAAGGCGGCUUACUGGACUGUAACUGACGUUGAGGCUCGAAAGCGUGGGGAGCAAACAGGAUUAGAUACCCGGGUAGUC